AUUGAACGCUGGCGGCAUGCCUUACACAUGCAAGUCGAACGGCAGCACGGGUGCUUGCACCUGGUGGCGAGUGGCGAACGGGUGAGUAAUACAUCUGAACAUGUCCUGUAGUGGGGGAUAGCCCGGCGAAAGCCGGAUUAAUACCGCAUACGAUCUACGGAUGAAAGCGGGGGACCUUCGGGCCUCGCGCUAUAGGGUUGGCCGAUGGCUGAUUAGCUAGUUGGUGGGGUAAAGGCCUACCAAGGCGACGAUCAGUAGCUGGUCUGAGGGGACGACCAGCCACACUGGGACUGAGACACGGCCCAGACUCCUACGGGAGGCAGCAGUGGGGAAUUUUGGACAAUGGGCGAAAGCCUGAUCCAGCAAUGCCGCGUGUGUGAAGAAGGCCUUCGGGUUGUAAAGCACUUUUGUCCGGAAAGAAAUCCUUGGCUCUAAUACAGUCGGGGGAUGACGGUACCGGAAGAAUAAGCACCGGCUAACUACGUG
This 486-nucleotide ribosomal RNA is filed under the name uncultured bacterium. Its description in RNAcentral is "partial 16S ribosomal RNA". It matches the Rfam family "Bacterial small subunit ribosomal RNA", at positions 30 to 507 of the family's 1533-position model. The record is from RNAcentral.